GACGUCGAUAUUCGACGUCAUAAACACGUUCAACUUUGGUGUUUAUGACGUCGAUAUUCGACGUCAUAAACACGAUCAACUUUGGUGUUUAUGACGUCGAUAUACGACGUCAUAAACACGAUCAACUUCGGUGUUGAUGACGUCCAUAUUUGACGUC
Non-coding RNA from Paramuricea clavata, 157 nucleotides. NCBI's taxonomy places the organism in Eukaryota, Metazoa, Cnidaria, Anthozoa, Malacalcyonacea, Plexauridae. The record is from the annotation of a GenBank genome assembly.